Molecule: long non-coding RNA, 1405 nt
Organism: Oreochromis aureus
Lineage: Eukaryota; Metazoa; Chordata; Actinopteri; Cichliformes; Cichlidae
Source: Ensembl
UUUAACCCUUAGGAAAUCUGAAACACAAUAUUCAAAAAAGACAGGCAUCCAUUUAGAUUUUUCCCAAACAAAACUCCAGGCUGUAGCUCAGAGCAGAAAAUAUUUGAGUUGGUCCACUUAUAGAUGGUAACCGAUCACACCUGCAUUCCUGGGAGAAGGGAGCUGCCAACAGACAUUCUCCUGUUGCCCCCCUCGCACCCCUUCUCCAAUUUUCUCUCCCCUUGUUACCUUGUCUCCCUCUUCUGCGUUCCUCUCCUUCUGUUGCUCCCCUUUCUAUAUGAGUGUGUCUGGGUCCGGCUGGAGAGGCUUUGUCUGUGAACAUUGGAGCCCUGACUGGCCCACGGGGGCCCGAUCCAUGAAUACCCACACUGUGAGAGCCACUCUUUCACUUCACACCACUUUCUCUACUGGAAUGCCUGAGCAGUGAGAUAUUGCAGGGGAAACAUCCUCAGACAUCCUGGUGAACUUCUAUCGCUGCACCAUCGAGAGCAUCCUGACCAACUGUAUAACAGUCUGGUACGGGAACUGCUCUGCCUCGGACCGGAAGGCGUUGCAGAGGGUCGUGAAAACUGCCCAGCGCAUCGCCGGAGCACCACUUCCUGCCAUAAAGGACAUCUACAGGAAGCGGUGUCUGAAAAGGGCUGGGAAAAUCAUCAAAGACCCCAGUCACCCAUCACAUGGACUCUUCACCCUCCUGCCCUCUGGGAGGCGCUACAGGAGCCUCCGGACUAAGACCACCAGGUACCGGAACAGCUUCUUCCCCACAGCUGUCAGACUCCUGAACUCUGCCUCCUGACAUCUGACCCACGUUAAACUCAUGGACUGAACAUACACACACCCACAACCACUAGCACUUUACCACUACUGUAUAGUUCUGUGUAGAUAAUCAUUCUGUACAUACGAUAAUUUUUAAUCCCACAACUGUUUAUAACUUACAUAGUUCACAUUUCUGUAUAACUGUAUAUCUCAGAUUUCUGUAUAGUUUUUAUUUCAUAUUUAUAUCCUGUUCAUAGCCUGUACAUAGCUUGUACUCACUACAGCCUGUACAUACUUAUAGUUAUAGAAUAUUCAUAACAUACUUCACACUGUGUACAUUAUAACAUACCAUAACAGACCCAUUUCUGUAAUAUACUUACAUUUCUGUAAUAUACUUACACAUCUCUAUUAUUGCUAAUUUAUAUUGUAGUAUAUCUAUAUCACGACUAAAGCACUUUCUGGAUGGAUGCAAACUGCAUUUCGUUGCCCUGUACCUGUGCAUGUGCAAUGACAAUAAAGUUGAAUUCUAUUCUAUUCUAUUCUAACAUGAUAGUGUCACACAUUAGACUGAGCCAUUCGUAAAGCCAUAACCUAUAAAUUUGCACAUGCAUAGCACAGUUGUAACUUGCUUUGUAAACUUUACUUUGGG